Molecule: ribosomal RNA, 253 nt
Filed under: uncultured bacterium
Lineage: Bacteria
Description: partial 16S ribosomal RNA
Rfam family: Bacterial small subunit ribosomal RNA
Source: RNAcentral
UACGUAGGGUGCAAGCGUUAAUCGGAAUUACUGGGCGUAAAGCGUGUGUAGGCGGUCUCGCAAGUCCGAUGUGAAAUCCCCGGGCUCAACCUGGGAAUGGCAUUUGGGACUGCAAGGCUGGAGUGUGGCAGAGGAGACUGGAAUUCCCGGUGUAGCAGUGAAAUGCGUAGAUAUCGGGAGGAAUACCGAUGGCGAAGGCAGGUCUCUGGGCUAACACUGACGCUCAUGCACGAAAGCGUGGGGAGCAAACAGG